GCACCAGUGGUUUAGUGGUAGAAUAGUACCCUGCCACGAUAUAGACUUAGGUUCAAUUCUUGGUUGGUGUA
This is a transfer RNA of Ipomoea nil (Japanese morning glory), 71 nucleotides long. It matches the Rfam family "tRNA". From Rfam's summary of the family: Transfer RNA (tRNA) molecules are approximately 80 nucleotides in length. Their secondary structure includes four short double-helical elements and three loops (D, anti-codon, and T loops). The record is from Rfam. NCBI's taxonomy places the organism in Eukaryota, Viridiplantae, Streptophyta, Magnoliopsida, Solanales, Convolvulaceae.